RNAcentral lists this ribosomal RNA (497 nucleotides) under uncultured bacterium. RNAcentral's name for it is "partial 16S ribosomal RNA". It matches the Rfam family "Bacterial small subunit ribosomal RNA", at positions 28 to 507 of the family's 1533-position model. The record is from RNAcentral.
GAUGAACGCUGGCGGCGUGCCUAAUACAUGCAAGUCGAGCGAACAGAUGAGGAGCUUGCUCCUCUGACGUUAGCGGCGGACGGGUGAGUAACACGUGGAUAACCUACCUAUAAGACUGGGAUAACUUCGGGAAACCGGAGCUAAUACCGGAUAAUAUAUUGAACCGCAUGGUUCAAUAGUGAAAGACGGUUUUGCUGUCACUUAUAGAUGGAUCCGCGCCGCAUUAGCUAGUUGGUAAGGUAACGGCUUACCAAGGCAACGAUGCUUAGCCGACCUGAGAGGGUGAUCGGCCACACUGGAACUGAGACACGGUCCAGACUCCUACGGGAGGCAGCAGUAGGGAAUCUUCCGCAAUGGGCGAAAGCCUGACGGAGCAAAGCCGCGUGAGUGAUGAAGGUCUUCGGAUCGUAAAACUCUGUUAUUAGGGAAGAACAAAUGUGUAAGUAACUAUGCACGUCUUGACGGUACCUAAUCAGAAAGCCACGGCUAACUACGUG